This 115-nucleotide ribosomal RNA is filed under the name uncultured bacterium. Its description in RNAcentral is "partial 16S ribosomal RNA". It matches the Rfam family "Bacterial small subunit ribosomal RNA", at positions 1369 to 1482 of the family's 1533-position model. The record is from RNAcentral.
CGUUCCCGGGCCUUGUACACACCGCCCGUCACACCAUGGAAGCCAGCUGUACCGGAAGACGAUAAAGAUAACCGUAAGGGGUCUUUCGGCGAAGGUGGGGUUGGUGACUGGGGUG